This 224-nucleotide ribosomal RNA is filed under the name uncultured bacterium. Its description in RNAcentral is "partial 16S ribosomal RNA". It matches the Rfam family "Bacterial small subunit ribosomal RNA", at positions 15 to 230 of the family's 1533-position model. The record is from RNAcentral.
GAUCAUGGCUCGGGAUGAACGCUAGCUACAGGCUUAACACAUGCAAGUCGAGGGGCAGCAUGGUCUUAGCUUGCUAAGGCCGAUGGCGAUCGGCGCACGGGUGAGUAACACGUAUCCAACCUGCCGUCUACUCUUGGACAGCCUUCUGAAAGGAAGAUUAAUACAAGAUGGCAUCAUGAGUUCACAUGUUCACAUGAUUAAAGGUAUUCCGGUAGACGAUGGGG